AGGGCCUCAUCUACCCUGGUCUUGAACACCUCCAGAGAUGGGGCAUCCACAACCUCUCUGGGAAACCUGUUCCAGUGCCUCACCAUCAACUGGGUGAAAAAUUUCCUUCUAACCACUAAUCUAAAACUCCCUUCUUUUAGUUUAAAACCAUUCCACCUCCUCCUGUCAAUAUCUGAUUGAGCAGAGAUGCUCUCCAUCUUUUUUUAUAUGCCUCCUUCAAGUAUUGAAAGGCUGUAAUGAUGUUCAUUUCCUUCAAUUUCCUUCAAUUCCUUAUCCACUGAAUGUCCCACCCAUCAAACCCAUCUCUCUCCAAUUUGGAGGCCAGGAUGUCAUGUGGGACCAUAUCAAAGGCCUUGUAGAAGUCCAGGUAGAUGACAUCGGUUGGUUUUCGUCUGUCAACUGAUGCAGUCACUCCACCAUAGAAAGCCACCAGUUGGUCAGGCAUGAUUUGCCCUUGGUAAAGCCAUGCUGGCUGUCUCGGAUCACCUCCUUGUCUUGCAUGCGACUUGACAUUGCUUCCAGGAGGAUCUUUUCCAUGAUCUUGCCAGGCACAGAGGUGAGGCUCACUUGUCUGUAGUUCCCCAGGGCCCCCUUUCUACCUUUUCAAAUGGGAGCGGUGUUUCCCUUUUUCCAGUAUUUCCAGCAUUAAACUUCAAGCACUGUCAGAUAAAAGCAAUAGGAAUCCCACAUUAGGAGUGAAGCCCUUCUCUAGAUCUCUUUAUUUCCUUUUCUUUUCUGGUUAUUAUUUACCAAUUAAAAAAAAAAAAAAAAAAAAGGCAAGAAAUUGCUAUUUCCAGACUGUACCCGUGACCUGAUGCAAGAUCUUAGAAGAUGAUCACAAAAGGUUGUGGAAGCUCAUGUAAGGCCAUAGAAGGCUACACCAACCUUGCUUCUCUCCAUUUGCAGGAACCUCUGAAAGAAGCUGCCCUGCCCAGAGCCAGGUGUACCUGCUUGAUUACAGAGCAAUUAAUGAGACGCUGCAGGACCCAUCACUGCCCUUUUCCACUUCUCAUAGGCCAGGACAGACCCUGGGUCCUUUCUGCUGCUUCCCAGAGCUGUCAGUCACUCGGGUCCCUCCCCAGCUCACUUCCCCAUCCAGCAUAUAAAGGCAGGGAGCAGGGGGGCAGCAUGGUGUGGUGCCUGGUUCCUUCUUGCUGGUUAUCUGCUUACCUUCAACAGGGGGGAAAAAGCUAUCCUCCUUGUUUUGGGACAGCAGGACCUUAUCUUCUUAACAUACUCCCUGCUGCUAUGCUACUGUUGUGCCUGCACAAUCACUUCUGAAUGUACAAGGUUAGUGGAAUUUUCCACUGCAAAAACACCUUCUAUUGCAAAAACAACUUUGUUUCUGUGAGACUCAUUCUGGGAUCUGCCCUUAAUGGACACUAAAAAAAAAAGUCUCCUGAUUUAUGUUAGGAAGGGGAGCUCCUCUGGAGGCUCGCUAGUGGUUUGGUUGCAUUUCUCCUAAACCA
Molecule: long non-coding RNA, 1469 nt
Filed under: Anas platyrhynchos platyrhynchos (common mallard)
Lineage: Eukaryota; Metazoa; Chordata; Aves; Anseriformes; Anatidae
Description: lncRNA (ENSAPLG00000022999.1)
Source: RNAcentral